AGUCUCUCUCUACUGUAACUCCUGACUGUGUGUGUGUGAGCGGCUGAGUGGCUCGCUGUUCUUGCUGUGUCUCCAGAGUGAUUUAUCAGGUUUGCAGGGAGGAGAGACAGAGGGAGAGAGGGGGAGGGAGACAACUCCAGUAGCAGGCAGGCAGCAGUUACCAACCAGCUGGCCGGGUGUGUUAACUCCACAUCUGACCUCUAUGGGAACAGAGCGAUCUCCUCUCCUCUCCUGGCUGACUGUGGGAACGAGGAGAGAUCUUCAUUUCCCCCACUCUCGCUGCUCCUGGCUGGGCCAUCGAGCUCGGGGACAGAGGAGGACAUGACAGGACAGGACAGCUUUGGGAGCGAGAUCUCAAGUGGGAGAGCCGAGCUCUGAGGAUUUCACCGCCGAGCAGUGACUGGACCUCGCUGGCACCGCCUGGCUGUCGGUCAGGCAGCGAUGCAGUUGUCUAGUCAGUCAUUAGCCAGUCAGAGGGUUAGUUAGUCAGCCGGGGAAUCGGUCAGUGGGGUCCUUCCCAAAGAGUCAACUCUUAGUGCAUACCCUCAUCUGAACUCUGAGGUGACUCAGACUUGCCAUGUAGCUAGAGCGGACCUGUGGGCAUGGUCACAGGUGCUUCACAGCUGCUGUGGGAAAAAGGCAUCUGGAGCCCACGAGGACGUAACCUUACAAAGGGCAGGGGAGGGCGGAUGCAGCCUCUCUAUCUCGGCUGUGGUGGGGAGGGUUCCUGGCACCGUGAUUUGAUGCACAAAGAGAAACAAAAAUCACAUUGCCAGGGAUUUCCACUCCUUCACAGCUCAGCUGGUGACCCACCGCACUGUUUCCAUCGCGGGUUGCUUUUGUGUAGCCGUCCUAGCUGCUCUGAUUGGAUUCAGUUGAUUUCUGAUGCUGGAUGUUGCUAUGGAGUCAAAUAUGGGUGAAGUUAGAUACGGCGAUCAACUCUCAGCAGACUUCUCACAAGGAGAGCUGUGACAUAGCACAGAAAGUGUCGAAACGCUCACGAGGCUGCCGUUAAACGUGCAGCUGUCUGAAAUUCAAACUCUUCACACGUCUCGUCUUUCAAAUACGACAGGAAGUUGAUGUAAAUGCACGUGAGGGCCGUGCAGCUUUACGUGAUAGAACUAACUUUUGGAGUCAGCUCACGUUUCAGCUCUCGGAUUUUAGAUUUAAACACACAGGGAAGCGGCCCUGAUCCUACACCGGCAGCACGCUCCGAAACACAAAAGCGAACCUCAACAUCCGAAGCACCGCAGGCGCUAAAGCCACCAACUUUACCGGUGAGCAGUCACGUAAAGGUCUGCGUGAGGCUCUGGUCCCUCGAAAGCCUGCCACCCACUUGCUAAAGGCACAGAGCUUAGCUAAUUGGUGAGCAUUGAUCCCUGCUAUGUGUUGUUCACAGUGGCUAAGUUCAGUGCCUGAGGUGAAAUAGUGGAUUCGACGUUGGGGGAUUUGUUCCGCUGAAUGGAAAGAACCUGAUGAUCUCGGAUAUGAGGAAAGAAGGAGGGAGGAGAAGGGGGGAGAGAUUAGGUGGGAAAGGGAGAAGCUCGGCUCACGGCUCUAAUGUGGGCUCACCUGCUUCUGUGGACCAAAGGCAGCGUGCUUGUGCAAUAUGGUCCAGAGGUGAGACAAGCUGUACUGUUUCUUCAUUUGCCUGCAGCAACAACUGUCUUCUUACCUCUAACAUCUGGCAAGAAUCAUGGUGCAUGCCAAAUAUAUUUGAAAUUGUUUGAGCGAGGCCAUGUGACCCAGGUUUAAUGUGUUCUUGCAAAUGCCUCAGAUUGCAUCUGGAUUAGGAAUGUGGUGCUAAAUGUCAACUGUACCUGGGCGUGCCACUUCACGUCUGACUGAGGUAGCUUAGGACGUCAGUGCCAGUGUUUAGCACUAACCUUCCCACACUUUAUCACCCUUAGCUGAAAGUCUCCCAGCUUUUCCUACGAUAAACUAGCUGAUUGAUUUCAUGUUGGUCUGAGCUGUCGCUUAAUUUUUCUUGGGUGGAUUUUUAGCAAAUUAACACCAGUGCAAACUAAGAAGUAAAACCCUUUUUUCCUGAAAUAAAAGUGUCUUAAGUGAUCACAAAUUCUCCUGCUGCUCACUGUGAGCUGCGUGACUGCAGUAAAUUUGCCUAUUGCUGCGUAAUUCACCCCGAACUUGGUGCUGCUGUUCUAACGCUGCGUGCUGCUAUGAUGUGAGCAAAAAUAAGCUGCAGCACUCAGUUGUUUCUGGGCUUUGCCCUCCUGUGCCUACUGAACUGGUAUCAGUGUUAUACCUGAAAACUGGCUCAGUUCAGCAGGAACAGGAGUGGAGCCUACAGACAUGCGACAGCUUCGAGCGACAGCAGCGAGACCGAGAUUCAGCUGUUGUUGGUUGCUGUGUCAAACUGACGUGAUGCUCGCCUCGAGUCAAAGGCGGUGAUGAAAUCCAAACCAGAGUCCCCGAACCUGUCAGACUGAAGCUUGACGUCUCCGUGGAAGUGCGUCCCGACUUAGACGACUGUGCUUUCCUUCGUCGACGUGUAAAUGUUUCAUGAGCCGAUGGGUUGGUGUUUGUGAAUACUCGUACAUGCUAAUGAACCCAAUCCUGUUGUUCUGUUCAACCUUCAUCUUUCUCCUGCAUUCUCCUCCUGAGACGCCUGCAGACACGCCCCUCGAGCUUCACCUGUGUCGUCUCUCUGUCUGUGCCGUCAAAGGCCAGACUGAGACUAGGGCUCAUUGUGAGCUAAUCCCAGUGAAAUGUCUGCUAUGUCUGUGUAAUGGAUUUCAACCAGCAGCCCCACAUUGUGAGCGAAUGGGAGUGUGUGCAACUUGGAGCCACAAAAGGAAAAGUGCUUGAAAAUUUCAUAUCCAGAGGAAAGUGGAAGCUCAUCAGUAAGCGUGAUGAAUUUGCUCUUAUCCGGCACCUCCACUGAUCCUGGCUGCCGCCAUAAAAUUAUGUUUCCAUUACUUGAAAUUUCUGCAGAUAAAUGUUCCAUUCAGACCUGGAGGAGAUUACCCAGUGAAAAGGUUAGAGAGGGGUUUCUCUCUAUCGGUGAUGCCGACUUCAGGGCAUUGUUUCAGCCCGGUGGUACCACUGACAAGUUGGCUAUGAUUUGUGUAAGUGUUCAAUUGAACAAAGUGUUGAGUAGAAAUGAUGCAUGAAGUGCAUUCUUCUAAAUGUCAGCAUGUUCAUUUAAUGCAUGAUUUAUUCUGAUGUUGCAGGUGUUUCGUUCCAGCACAAACCCAGCACUGACUGAAUGCAAUAAAGUUUAAAUGAGCCUGA
Long non-coding RNA from Maylandia zebra (zebra mbuna), 3255 nucleotides. RefSeq lists it as uncharacterized. NCBI's taxonomy places the organism in Eukaryota, Metazoa, Chordata, Actinopteri, Cichliformes, Cichlidae. The record is from RefSeq and is a predicted model, not a curated record.